GGUUAGGAAUAAAAACCUAGGUAUUUAUAUCUAUACCUUUUGCUGAUUACUGAGGUUUUCGCCCGAAAUCGCCGACACCCCCCGUGCGGUUUACCUCCGUGCGAUGCUUCCCACCAUUCGCUAAGCUCUGGUCAGGCAACAUCUCACGUCGCCGAUCUUGUGGAGGGCAUCCGAGGGAACGCCGGAACCUUUGACAACCUCAUCGUUGGCGCGAGAGCAUUGGGCGACGGCUUCCGACGGAGGCAUAAAGCCUCUAAAAAGGUGAGGAUGGUUCUCAAGAUAUGACAGAAGGCCCUCGGACGGAAUAGACAAGGAGGCGAGAUGGAUGCAUGGUACUUUCCGCUGGUUUAGGAGUGCAGAGUAUAUUGGCUUCAUUGCGGGAGAUUAUUCCUUUGAUAUUCGUAAGAGGGAGGUUUGGGGAACUUAUUGUUCUUUAUUCACUAAAUCUUGAUGUUACAGACAUUUCCUUAAAUAAAGAUAGUUAUCCAUGAUGGGGAUUGUACUAGGGCUUUCCACUGAGCGGUUGAUGAGAGCGUAGUU
Zingiber officinale is the source of this 540-nucleotide long non-coding RNA. RefSeq lists it as uncharacterized. The record is from RefSeq and is a predicted model, not a curated record. Lineage: Eukaryota; Viridiplantae; Streptophyta; Magnoliopsida; Zingiberales; Zingiberaceae. The transcript is spliced from 2 exons.